RNAcentral lists this ribosomal RNA (445 nucleotides) under uncultured bacterium. RNAcentral describes it as "partial 16S ribosomal RNA". It matches the Rfam family "Bacterial small subunit ribosomal RNA", at positions 354 to 796 of the family's 1533-position model. The record is from RNAcentral.
GUGAGGAAUAUUGGUCAAUGGGCGCAAGCCUGAACCAGCCAUGCCGCGUGCAGGAAGACGGUCCUAUGGAUUGUAAACUGCUUUUAUUUGGGAAUAAACCUCCUUACGUGUAGGGAGCUGAAGGUACCAAAUGAAUAAGCACCGGCUAACUCCGUGCCAGCAGCCGCGGUAAUACGGAGGGUGCAAGCGUUAUCCGGAAUCAUUGGGUUUAAAGGGUCCGCAGGCGGUCAUAUAAGUCAGUGGUGAAAGCCUACAGCUCAACUGUAGAACUGCCAUUGAUACUGUAUGACUUGAAUUCGAUCGAAGUGGGCGGAAUGUGACAUGUAGCGGUGAAAUGCUUAGAUAUGUCACAGAACACCGAUAGCGAAGGCAGCUCACUAGGUCUGGAUUGACGCUCAGGGACGAAAGCGUGGGGAGCAAACAGGAUUAGAAACCCGAGUAGUCC